This is a long non-coding RNA of Corvus hawaiiensis (hawaiian crow), 3906 nucleotides long. RefSeq lists it as uncharacterized. The record is from RefSeq and is a predicted model, not a curated record. The transcript has 3 exons. Lineage: Eukaryota; Metazoa; Chordata; Aves; Passeriformes; Corvidae.
AGGACAGUGUUUGUGGCUGUAACUGCACGUGGGUUACACAAGGCAGGGCAUGCACAGCUGUGGAGCUGGGCUCUGUCCGAGGAUGGAAAUUGUCCAGUCUGGGUUUGAAAUGCAGCCUGAGCAUAACUGCUGGGUCGGGUCAAACCUGAGGUGCUGAUAGCUCUGGACAGACCCUGGCUGGAGAAACAAGCUGCAAGCUUUGUCUGUCUGUACAAACCGGCUUCCAUACCCAGAGUUCCACUGCCUGAGUCCUAACGUCCUGAAGGUGUCCCAACUACAAGGAUUGCCUCCUCCCAGGAGAAAGCCCUUGUGGAGAGGCCCUUGCUGUUGAGUGGAAGUGGAUGAUGCAGCCGAGGCAGAUGAGCCACUAGAGGAAGAGGGAAGAAAACAACUCAUUUGCCAGAUAUGGACAAGACACCCCACAAAAUGUAUAGAAAUGAGGGUGAUUUUCCUGUGCUUGAUCAAACAUAAAAAAACAUGUUAAAAAAGCUCGAUGUAAUUUAAAAAUCUUUUUGAUGUGAUUUUGAAGCUGUGUUUUGAUAGCUUUUCCUCCACUCACAGGAUACAGAUUGCUAUUCCAUAGUAAAUGGGGUGCAAUUAGUGACUAUCCACAGCUGAAGACAGUAGACAGCAGGAGCCCCGAGGCUUUUCUGAUCUUCACUGCAUCUGGACCAAUAUUCUCCUGUGUCUUGUGGUGCACAAUUCCCCACAAAGGAACCACUUGCUGUUGUGUUUCUCUCACGUCUCUUUGGCAAGGAGCACAUGGGGUUUUCCCUUGCCCUGCUGCUUGGGGAAUGGUCUGUUUCCUAGGAGCAUCUGGAAAUUUCAUCUGAAAAGCUUUUGUUACGUCAGGGCCUUGGGACCUGAUGACGUCUGUGAUCUUUUCUGGUCUCCCAAAGGGAAUUUGGAGAGCAUUUUUUUACCCAUUGUUGGGACGUUUGAGGCACAUUCUGCAAACCUUUCUGCACUGAAUGUCUGUUACAUGGUUUUAAUGGGUCUUACAACCAUUUGCAGUCAUAACCGUUCAGAUUAUCACGAGCCGUGCUAAUACUUGCCAUGAUUUAAUCUAUAUAAAUCAAGUAAAUAUCGAUUUAUUAAAUUUUCGGGGUUGUUCCUUGUAUGGAAAAGCCAUUUUGCGGUUAAUAUGUUCUAAGACUGACAAUUUGGCUUUAUGAAUUGCAGAUUGUUUUUUGUCUCAGCUUUAUGGUAGGCUCAGAGCAAUGUGAGACUCUGCUACCCAUCCCUGUAUUGUUUUCUUUCCACAUCUCACCAGGAUGAUUCAUGGUUUGGGGCCCAGAGAUGUUCCUGGUUUGUCUGAUACCCACAGUUUCUAUAUUGCAUGGCUGAUUCACAGUGCUACACAAUGCAAGAUACAGUGGUUUGUGUUGACUGACUCUCAGAUAGCUGCCCUAACAUAUUUAGUUUAGACUUAUCCAUCUACCAGCCUGUGCAGGAUAUGGCAUCUGCUCCCUUGAAUUUAGUUAUUCUUUGUCUGAUUUAUAACACAGGCCUGUAAUAAAUUAUCUCAGCACAGUUGGAGUGCACUGAACUGCAGAUUAAGAGCUGGAAUGAGUGGGGAAGGCAGGGACUUCAUAAACCAGAUUUAUGGAAUCAAAACUCUCUUUUUUUUUGUUUUGAUUCCAUAGCAGAAGCUAACAAAAAGUUAUCUUAACUGCUAACUUUAUAACAUAUUUCAGCAAACUCUUUCCUAACUCUGCUGAUCUCAUAUAAUUAACCUGUGCUUUUUAAUAAACAUCCUGCAACUCCAGCAAGUGCUGCAGAAAGCAAAGACUGUUUCAUCAUGUUGAAGUCCAGUGCAUUGAUGUGUUUAUUAAAUCUGUUGAUAUUUUCUUCACUGAGACCUUUGUAAAAUGCUGUUUUCAUGUGGAUACAAGUCCUCAGAGGCAGCGAAUGUCCUGCAGCCUCUUCCUGCUGUUCUCUUCACUCAGGAAGAGUCAGUCUUUAGGCACUGGUCAAGUAUUACUCCGCUGUGUCUGUUUAGUUCUUAAUCUGCAUGUGUGUUUAGUUCUUAAUUUGUGUUAACAAAGCAGGCACUGAGCUUCAUCUUCUCCCUUAAUGGGAACAGUAACAGGCUGUGCAUGGCCCUCGCGGCACAGCAAGAAGGGGAAAAAAAUAUUUGUGGAGCUAAAUGGAGGUGGGAGGAGGUGUGUACCCGUGGCAGCACUUAGAACCCCAAAGUGCAAGACAAGGCUUCAAAGGUUACAAACCCAGGAGAAGCUGAAGUAACCUGGUCAGUAACCUGGUCAGUAACCUGGAACACAGGGAAUGACAAAAAGUACCUUUCUGAGGGGAUGAUCUCAAAGAGCUUGUGUUGAGUAGAGCGGCUGUGAACUUGGUAAGAAGCAUCGCUGCCCAAAGCUGAGUUUAAGGAGGGUGCUCAGCAGGAGGGUGGGAUUCCUGCAGGAGACACAGACUGGUGAUGGCAAGCACAGCCUGACUACAUCCAACGAAGACCAGUUAGAGACAAAACCAGAUAAUUAAUAAAAACUCUUGUAAGCAAGACACCUUUGCAAUAAAAAAGGGUAGGCUUCAGAGAAACAAGAUUGAUGGGACAAGAGAUUCUUCACAUUCAAUUUUGUGUCACAGGUUUCAAUGCAGUAAUUUGGCAAUUUAUUAUGGUGAUGAAUCUCUCUUGUUGAUUAUUAAAAUUAUUGCCAGGAAUAAUUUAAAUUCUAGGUUUAUAAAGAGGCUGUGGUGAGUUCAGGAUGCUCAAGCUCUUAGAGUUGAAUUAAUUUGUUUUUAUUUAACUCUCAGAGUUGAAUUAAUUUGUGUCAGAAGUUGGAUUCUAGAAAGCACUCAUUAAAAGUGAGUCAGAAAUAAUUUCUGUUUGUUUUUCUCAAAAAUACUUUAUGUAAAAGAAAUUUAAUUUUAGUAAAUUUAUUAGUGUCUCUUGGUAGAAAAGCAAUGGAUUGACAGUUGAUAUAAAUUGUUACAAUUGCUUAAAAGGUCAAAAACUAUAGCACUUAGAGACAAACCAUUCUAUUAGUCUAGAAAGCUUUCAUUAACAUGCCCACAUAUAUUGUGUAUAACCAGUGAAGCUAAAAGCCUGCAUUUCCCAAGGUUUAGGAGCUGCUCCAUGAUUUUGACUGCAUGAGUUUCCUGUCCGUACUUCCAGGAGCUGCUGGUUAAGGGAAGCUGUUACAAUGGCCCUUUGCAGGGUGGUUUUCUCUCUGUCAUGUUUAACCCAGCCAUGUCUAAGAGAGCCAAGAAAAUAAAGUCCAGACAGUUCUGUACAACACCUCUGUCCAGGCAGUGAUCUUAUUUAAUGCAGGUCACAGUACCCAUCCUCAUGGUCACUAAAGGACUAGAAGAAAUGCUGUUUCUCUGUCUGAAAUUCUCUUUUUCUAGUGACUUGCCAUUGUAGCACUUAGAGAAAUAAACCUGAAGCUUACAAAACAGAGUAAGAGGAUGAGUUUUGAUGAAACUGACCUUGGACAGACCCCAUGAGGUGAUAGAGCAUGGCUUUAGAUAAAUCCCUGUGUUGGUGCUGCCCAGCAGUGAUGCUGCAGUGUCUCCCACAGAGGCAUACAACAAUAACCCAGGAAAUGCUGUUGUGGGGUUUGAAACUGGCCAGGUGUUUUUUCUUCCUUAAGGAACUGGUAAAUGCUCAUUUUCCUGUUAUCGAGUCCAUUUGUGGUAAUGCUGGACAGUGUGAGCUGUUUCAUUCGUGUUUGUGGAAACCUGCAGCUCCCAAGAAAUGGGUUUGCAUCGCCCUUGUUUGUUCUCCUGCAGAGUUCCAAAAUGGUUGUGAAUUAAGGGGCACCUCCUGUGCCUCCCAGUGUGGGCAUGGGAGCUGCCUGCUACAUAUUUAAAUGUUACUGCUUCUUUGACAUCUACUUUCACAUGAAAUGCUAUAGAUUAAUAACUAAUUACUUUUUUUUUGAA